Molecule: long non-coding RNA, 490 nt
Filed under: Bos indicus x Bos taurus (hybrid cattle)
Lineage: Eukaryota; Metazoa; Chordata; Mammalia; Artiodactyla; Bovidae
Description: lncRNA (ENSBIXG00005029039.1)
Source: RNAcentral
UUCAUAGUGUUACAGGAGCUGAGACUGCCGAGUGCUGAGCUGAGACUAGAAGGAAAGCGGAUCUUUCAGAGAGGAAGUCAACCCCAGAACCAGUGAGGACGCACAGGCCCAUGAAGAGGUUGCUGAAUUGAGGACGGCAUGAAGAGAAAGCUGUGUUGCUGAUCAGUUGAGAGGAUACAGAAUCUCUUUCAUCCCACCCAUUGAGCUAGAACAUCAGUAGAAACCAUCAUUGGCAUUAUGUUGGCUUUAACAGAUGUACCUGCAUUGUGGCAAGAUGCCCCUCCAGGUAGAUGCAGCAACGUUUAAGCACUUGACAGCCAGGAGGGAGAUCUGAAGAUUCUCAAGGAGAGCUUUCAGUACAGCGGCUGAGUUGUUUUCCAAGAACUCAGAGGUCCCCGAGGAUGUACUUGUAGGGGACAAGGAAGAUUGGUGGUCUCUGUACUCUGGGGGCUACCCCCAACUUUGAAUAGAUCAGUUAUGUUUCCCUUUG